CUCCUCUCCCUUUCCUGAUCCCUGAGGACCAGCUCAGUGGCGUGGGCGCUGCUCCCCGGUCUGAGAGCUUCAGGCUGUAAAUACCAGCUUCUCCUGGUGGAGUUGGCAAAAGGGAGCGUCAGUGCUGAGGGAGCUUCUGUCUCCUCCCUCAGUGUUUCUGCCCCAGUACGUUUUGGUUACUAAGACCCUUGAAUUCCCAUAUGAAUUGUAGCAACAGCUAGUCAGUUUCUGCAGAGGAGCCCGCUGGGAUUGUGAUCGAGAUCACGUUGAAUAUACGGAUCGUUCUGGGUAGCGCUGCCAUUCCAAGAGCGCUGUCAUUCCAAGAGUGCUGUAUUAUGAUCCAGUAAUCUGCGUGGUAUGUCUGUCCAGGUGCCCUCACCUCCAGUGGCAUCCAUGCAGACAUCAGCACUGAAACUGGCCAUGCUCAGAACUGCCUCAGCCCUGAAGACACAACUGACAAAUAGAAGGGGGCCACGCCCUGUUACAGCAGGUGCUCUCACUUUGUGGGUCCUUAUGUAACUGCGUGGUGUUAUUCAGGAUCACCCAUUCUACAUUGUGUGAAGCUGCUGCGGUGUCUCCUAGUUAUUUGCUUCUGAUCUGAGUAGCAGGAGGAAGGAACUCAGGGAGAGAUCCAGGAAGACAUCUGAACAUGUUAAGAGAUGACAGUCACAGCGACACAGGGAGCGAAGACACUUGCAGCAAAGUAAAAUCACUUCACACCUAUUGCAUCAGAGCUGCAGGUGUGGGAGAGCCUAAGCCUGUCUCAGAGUUCAGGGGACAAGUGGAAAGGAAUGUGUAAGAAUGCAGGUGACUCAGUUGGAAGCAUGCUUCAAAGCUGUCCGUGUCCUUGCCAUCCAGAAGCAGAGCCUGGAAACUUCUGAAUUUCUCCAGAAUGCAGUUUACAUUCACCUUCGACAGGCUCCUCUGCUCAGAUGUAAGAAUAACCUCUUUAAACUUCUUGAUGCAGCUCCUUAAUGAAGAUCUUGGGAAGGAAACCUAGCCAAAACCUGGGAGCAUUCCGAGGAGAGAAUUCAGCAGUGCAGCAUCCUCUCCGAGCUCUAUGAGUUGAUCGGCUUCCACUGCAAGUACUCCUUCUUCAAGCGGGUGGCCCCCGUGCAGCACGCGGCCCCCGGCAUCCUGGAGCCUGGUGGGAAGGCCUGCUACCGACUCCUUCUGCAGACAGUUCCUGGCUACAGUCUGUCGCUGGAUCUGCAGGACUUCAGUAAAGGUGUUGGAACUAAAACAUUGCUUCAGUCCCAUUAACCAUGCCUGGUUUGGGCCCUGCUGUCCUGUCUCAUCAGGGUGAAUUUUGAUUCAUGUAGAACAGGGCUCAGUAGACUUUUUCUGUCAAGGGGUUGGGAGUGAAUAUUUCAGGGUCUGAAAACCUCCUGAUCUCUGGUGCAGCUGCUCAGCUCUGCUGUUCAGACACCAGAGCAGCCGGACAAUCCACACACCCACAGAGCUUUAUUAACAGUGGUGGCUGGGGCUGGAUUGGGCAUAUGAACUGCAGUUUGUCCCCACAGCCUCCUCACUAUUGUCACCUGCACCAGAGCAUACAUUUGUGACAAUGGGUGAACCUACACUGACACGUCAUCAUUACCUAGAGCCCAUACUUGACACUAGGAUUUACACUUGGUGGUGUGCACUCUGUGGGUUUGGGCAGAUGUACAAUGACAUAUAUCCACCAUCACAGCAUCAUACAGAGUAAUCUGUCUU
Molecule: non-coding RNA, 1716 nt
Organism: Vicugna pacos (alpaca)
Lineage: Eukaryota; Metazoa; Chordata; Mammalia; Artiodactyla; Camelidae
Source: RefSeq, a predicted model, not a curated record